UGGAGAGUUUGAUCCUGGCUCAGGACGAACGCUGGCGGCGUGCCUAAUACAUGCAAGUCGAGCGGACCGACGGGAGCUUGCUCCCUUAGGUUAGCGGCGGACGGGUGAGUAACACGUGGGUAACCUGCCUGUAAGACUGGGAUAACUCCGGGAAACCGGGGCUAAUACCGGAUGCUUGAUUGAACCGCAUGGUUCAAUUAUAAAAGGUGGCUUUUAGCUACCACUUACAGAUGGACCCGCGGCGCAUUAG
Molecule: ribosomal RNA, 250 nt
Filed under: Bacillus haynesii
Lineage: Bacteria; Bacillati; Bacillota; Bacilli; Caryophanales; Bacillaceae
Description: partial 16S ribosomal RNA
Rfam family: Bacterial small subunit ribosomal RNA
Source: RNAcentral